CAAAUUUCUGCCCUAUCAACUUUCGAUGGUAGGAUAGUGGCCUACCAUGGUUUCAACGGGUAACGGGGAAUUAGGGUUCUAUUCCGGAGAGGGAGCCUGAGAAACGGCUACCACAUCCAAGGAAGGCAGCAGGCGCGCAAAAUUACCCAAUCCCGACACGGGGAGGUAGUGACAAUAAAUACUGAUAUAGGGCUCUUUUGGGUCUUGUAAUUGGAAUGAGUACAAUUUAAAUCCCUUAACGAGGAACCAAUUGGAGGGCAAAGUCUGGUGCCAGCAGCCGCGGUAAUUCCAGCUCCAAUAGCGUAUAUUAAAGUUGUUGCAGUUAAAAAAGCUCGUUAGUUGGAACCUUGGGGCCUUGGC
This 360-nucleotide ribosomal RNA is filed under the name uncultured fungus. RNAcentral's name for it is "SSU rRNA". It matches the Rfam family "Eukaryotic small subunit ribosomal RNA", at positions 300 to 654 of the family's 1831-position model. Lineage: Eukaryota; Fungi. The record is from RNAcentral.